This is a long non-coding RNA of Peromyscus eremicus (cactus mouse), 3293 nucleotides long. RefSeq lists it as uncharacterized. The record is from RefSeq and is a predicted model, not a curated record. NCBI's taxonomy places the organism in Eukaryota, Metazoa, Chordata, Mammalia, Rodentia, Cricetidae. The transcript is spliced from 3 exons.
CUUAUUUUAGAAUUGAAUGAAGUUUUAUCUCCAUGGUAGUAAUUAUGAUUUACUGAGCACUUAUAGAGCAGGAGCAUUCCAUUUGAUUUUCUACAUAUGAAAAACAGAUAUAUUUACUACAUAUGAAGAAUGAUCAGCACCAGGUCAACGCUGAGUCCUGAAAUAACAACUGGAAAGAAAUGAUGGAAAGAAUUAGUCUCCACUCAGAAAUGGCCUGCAAUGUUUGUGUCAUCCUUCACAUUUACUCCGACUAAAUUGCUAAAGAGGAAGAACAUUCAUUUUCCUGCCAACAAUAGCUUUGGGCGGUAUUUUCAUCCUUGUGCGACUUGCCAGUGUUGUGGACUCCGGCAGUGAGUUGAGCUCUUGGCUGUCUCCAUGAAGCUAUGCUCAGGCUGCCUAUUCCCUGAUGAGAGACAAUCCUGACCCUGACUAAGUCACACUAGCUAUGCCACCAAAGGCAUACUCAGGAACAGGUGACUAAACCUGACUGCAAACCCACCUUCCUGUCCCUGCCACACAGACAUCUGCAAGAAGAGGCCAAGUCAACCAGAUGUAGCUCAGGUCAAUUGACCCUUUUUGCUUGUGACCAAGACUGAUGGUUGUGUGUAAUCCCACAUGACUGUGGCAUUAUCAAAGUUUUAUGUUCUUAUCUUGUUGUGAAACCUCCUCCCACUUCCACAUGAGUGUAGGUGGCGAUCUCCAAAUAAGGAUCAAGUGGAUCUGGAUAAAGUUAUGAUUCUUCUUUUAAAUUAAGAAGAAGUCUACUAGCCCAUUUCUACACUUAGAUUUACUUUAAAUGAUAAUUUACUGAAUAUCAACAAUGUUUUGGUAAUGCUACCAGGAAUUGCACUUACAAAUAAGCCCUUCCAACACCAAGUUGAAUGCUUGAGAAAGCAAAAUACAUAGCAGUAAUGAACUGAAACCCUAAGUGUAAAUAAAUAUCCAUGACUCCUUCCCAAUACUAAAUGAUUAAGACUUAAAAUGGAGAACUGAUAGAUCUUCCACACGAAAAACACUCUAACAGAUGAUCUACCUACAAAGAGGCAGCAUAUAAAUACUGAAACCUCACCCAUUGGAAAGAACAGCUUUUGGGACCGGAGGUGUGGGAUUUGCAUACAAUCACCAUAUAUGUAUGCUUUGUGUGGUGACUUCAUUCCAAAAAGUACAUGAAAAUCAUGGAAGAAAAGAGUAACUGGAGAACUUUGACAACCACUGAUUUUCCAAGUGAUCUAAGUUAGUAUCAACCAUAAUAAGAGACACAAAGACUGGGAGAUUAGGUACACUGGGUAUAAUAUGUUAAGAAUACCAUUUUAGCCUGCAUGGUUUUCCUGCACUAGCAUUACUCCAAGCGAAAUAUCACCACUAGACAAAUUCACAACAAAAGAAUAUUAUUCCAAACAUCUGUCCAGUGCCCCUCAAAAUGACAAAAAUGACAAAAAAAAAAAAAAAAUCUGAGCAAGUCUUAUAUCUAAACAGAAGCUAAUGUGACAAGAUCAACAAAUGAGACAAGGAAUUAAAUGUCCUCUAGAAAGAUGGUCUCUUUUGAAAUUAAGAAAAUGUGAAUAAGUAUGAAUUUCAUCAAUACUAAUUAAUUAAUGAAAAUAUUAGUUCGUUAAUAUAGUGCGUAAGUAUUGCACAUAAAUUAUAAUAAAUGUACCAUAAAAAUUAUGCUGGUGAUAUGAGAAACUCGCUAUGGACAAAGAAAUAUGGUCUUACUGUGUAAAUCCACAAAAUAUACUGAAGUUAAUUUUUUGUCUAAAAAUAUAUUGUCCAAAGGGGCUGGGGCUCAUGGAGUAUGGUGCAUGCACACAAAAAACUUAAAUUUGUAUCCCCAAUAUCCAAGUAGAAGCUGGGCAUGGUAGAACACAUCUGUAGUCUCAGCUAAACUGAGGAAGUGGAGGAGAUGAUAGAGACAGUCAGAUUUCCAAAAUUCAUUGGCCUACCAGUUAAACCAAGCCACAGAGUUCCAGAUAGUAGUGAAAAAUUCUGCCUCAAAAAGUAAGGUGGGGAGCGAUAGAGGAAAGAAUACAAUAUUGACCCUUAGUCUCCACGCACACACUCAUACUUGUUCAAACACACAUCUGUGUACACAUAUGCACACACACAUAUAAAGAAAUAAAAAAAAACUAUAGUGUUUAUGAAACUAUGUACAAUAAAUUAUGUACUUUUAUAGUCACUAACCUCUGUAGAUUCAAGGUUUUGAAGGGCUGAUUACACUCGACUAAUUUUUUUAUGUGCUGUUGAUUUCUUGAUUUCUUGUUUAUCAUCACUUCCAUUGUCAAGCAAGUUCUUUUGGAGUUUCCAGUGUCAUUUUAAAAAUUUCAAAGUUUGAUUUACCAAACAGUGCCAAUGCAGAAAUGAAUUUAGCAGACAACUAAUUACUACAUGUAAAUAAAAUAAUAUUCCAGUUUAAAACAUAAUAUAAAUUUCAUGGAUGAAAUCAGUUUAAUUCUAUGAUGCAUUUAAAUGAAUAGAAUCCAUUCCAUUUUUGAAAUAACAUGCAAAUUGCAUCAUCAAUUGGCUUUUGCAAACAGUUUCUAAAAUUAUUAUUGAAUAUCACUUCUUGUCACACUCUCUCUGGAGAAGAUUAAUGGUAUGAUCACAGAGACACCAGCUGUUUCAAUACUGCUUUGUAUUUAUAGUGCUAGCUUAAUAGUACAGAUCUGCUUACUAGCUAUAACCUCUUGCAACCAAGAACCUUUCAUGGAGAUUCUUGCAUGUGGAUUAUUAUUAUUUUAAUACUAUGCCAUUAUUUGUAGUAUUUAAUAUUAUAGGAAAAAUUCUCAGCAUGGCCACAAAACAGCUGUCGGCUCACAUUUCAGUAGCUUUCAGACAACCUAGGGCAUCCACAGAGCAUUGGUAAACAUAUCUGAAUGAUAACUGAAACAGGUGUAGAUGACAUUUAAUAAAACAAUUCUCUAAUUUUUUGACCACUCUUUGUUUGGUUUCCUGGGACUCUGUUUGACAGUGAACUCCAGUGUAUUUGCUUCAGGGAAAUUCUUAGAUUGUGAGAGUCUACUGACAUGGCAACCAAAAGACAGGUCACAGAAACUGUGGCUAAACCUAAUGUUAAUUUCUAAGAGGAUAAAUAGAAUUUUGUGGUAGAAUUAGGAUUAUCAGCAGCAAAAACUUGAGAUUCUGUGUAUUAAGUUCAGACAAUUUCUGUUUGCAGAGUCUAACCAUAGGUUAUGAUGGAUCACAUUUAGUUUGGGAUUUGUCUAAUUCAUAUAAGUGCCAAUGUAAAUUUGCUGAUGAUUUUUCCUUUGCAUUUGUGUACCUUAAGUGAAGAAAUA